RNAcentral lists this ribosomal RNA (800 nucleotides) under uncultured bacterium. RNAcentral's name for it is "bacterial SSU rRNA". It matches the Rfam family "Bacterial small subunit ribosomal RNA", at positions 8 to 807 of the family's 1533-position model. The record is from RNAcentral.
AGAGUUUGUUCCUGGCUCAGGAUGAACGCUGGCGGCGUGCCUAACACAUGCAAGUCGAACGAAGCGCCCGCGCGGAUUCCCUCGGGAUGAAGCGCGGAUGACUGAGUGGCGGACGGGUGAGUCACGCGUGGGCAACCUGCCCCGUGCCGGGGGACAACAGCCGGAAACGGCUGCUAAUACCGCAUGAUCCGGAAGGGCCGCAUGGCCCUGCCGGGAAAGCUCCGGCGGCACGGGAUGGGCCCGCGUCUGAUUAGUUUGUUGGCGGGGUAACGGCCCACCAAGACUGCGAUCAGCAGCCGGCCUGAGAGGGCGGCCGGCCACAUUGGGACUGAGACACGGCCCAGACUCCUGCGGGAGGCAGCAGUGGGGAAUAUUGCACAAUGGGGGAAACCCUGAUGCAGCGACGCCGCGUGGGCGACGAAGCGCUCCGGCGCGUAAAGCCCUGUCAGCAGGGAAGAACAAAGACAGUACCUGACCAAGAAGCCCCGGCUAACUACGUGCCAGCAGCCGCGGUAAUACGUAGGGGGCAAGCGUUAUCCGGAUUCACUGGGCGUAAAGGGAGCGCAGGCGGCACGGCAAGUCUGGUGUGAAAGCCCGGGGCCCAACCCCGGGACUGCAUUGGAAACUGCCGGGCUGGAGUGCCGGAGGGGUAAGCGGAACUCCUGGUGUAGCGGUGAAAUGCGCAGAUAUCAGGAAGAACACCGGUGGCGUAGGCGGCUUACUGGACGGCAACUGACGCUGAGGCUCGAAAGCGUGGGGAGCAAACAGGAUUAGAUACCCUGGUAGUCCACGCCGUAAAC